Molecule: ribosomal RNA, 301 nt
Filed under: uncultured bacterium
Lineage: Bacteria
Description: partial 16S ribosomal RNA
Rfam family: Bacterial small subunit ribosomal RNA
Source: RNAcentral
CAGCCGCCGCGGUAAUACGAAGGGUGCAAGCGUUAAUCGGAAUUACUGGGCGUAAAGCGUGCGUAGGCGGUGAGUUAAGUCUGCUGUGAAAUCCCCGGGCUCAACCUGGGAAUGGCAGUGGAUACUGGCUCGCUAGAGUGUGUCAGAGGAUGGUGGAAUUCCCGGUGUAGCGGUGAAAUGCGUAGAGAUCUGGAGGAAUACCGAUGGCGAAGGCGGCCCCCUGGACAAAGACUGACGCUCAGGUGCGAAAGCGUGGGGAGCAAACAGGAUUAGAUACCCCUGUAGUCCCUGUCUCUUAUAC